UACGUAGGGUGCGAGCGUUGCCCGGAUUUAUUGGGCGUAAAGGGCGCGUAGGCGGUGCGGUAAGUCACCUGUGAAAUCUCCUGGCUCAACUGGGAGCUUGCAGGCGAAACUGCCGUGCUGGAGUGUGGGAGAGGUGCGUGGAAUUCCUGGUGUAGCGGUGAAAUGCGUAGAUAUCAGGAGGAACACCUGUGGCGAAAGCGGCGCACUGGACCACAACUGACGCUGAGGCGCGAAAGCUAGGGGAGCAAACAGG
This 253-nucleotide ribosomal RNA is filed under the name uncultured bacterium. Its description in RNAcentral is "partial 16S ribosomal RNA". It matches the Rfam family "Bacterial small subunit ribosomal RNA", at positions 524 to 776 of the family's 1533-position model. The record is from RNAcentral.